RNAcentral lists this ribosomal RNA (902 nucleotides) under uncultured bacterium. RNAcentral's name for it is "bacterial SSU rRNA". It matches the Rfam family "Bacterial small subunit ribosomal RNA", at positions 36 to 919 of the family's 1533-position model. The record is from RNAcentral.
CUGGCGGCGUGCCUAAUACAUGCAAGUCGAGCGAAUCUUUGGGAGCUUGCUCCCAUUGGUUAGCGGCGGACGGGUGAGUAACACGUGGGCAACCUGCCUGUAAGACUGGGAUAACUUCGGGAAACCGGAGCUAAUACCGGAUAAUCUUUUUCCUCUCAUGAGGAAAAAUUGAAAGUUGGUUUCGGCUGACACUUACAGAUGGGCCCGCGGCGCAUUAGCUAGUUGGUGAGGUAACGGCUCACCAAGGCGACGAUGCGUAGCCGACCUGAGAGGGUGAUCGGCCACACUGGGACUGAGACACGGCCCAGACUCCUACGGGAGGCAGCAGUAGGGAAUCUUCCACAAUGGACGAAAGUCUGAUGGAGCAACGCCGCGUGAGCGAUGAAGGCCUUCGGGUCGUAAAGCUCUGUUGUUAGGGAAGAACAAGUGCCGGAGUAACUGCCGGCACCUUGACGGUACCUAACCAGAAAGCCACGGCUAACUACGUGCCAGCAGCCGCGGUAAUACGUAGGUGGCAAGCGUUGUCCGGAAUUAUUGGGCGUAAAGCGCGCGCAGGCGGUCCUUUAAGUCUGAUGUGAAAGCCCACGGCUCAACCGUGGAGGGUCAUUGGAAACUGGGGGACUUGAGUGCAGAAGAGGAAAGCGGAAUUCCACGUGUAGCGGUGAAAUGCGUAGAGAUGUGGAGGAACACCAGUGGCGAAGGCGGCUUUCUGGUCUGUAACUGACGCUGAGGCGCGAAAGCGUGGGGAGCAAACAGGAUUAGAUACCCUGGUAGUCCACGCCGUAAACGAUGAGUGCUAAGUGUUAGGGGGUUUCCGCCCCUUAGUGCUGCAGCUAACGCAUUAAGCACUCCGCCUGGGGAGUACGGCCGCAAGGCUGAAACUCAAAGGAAUUGAACGGGGG